GGAACAAGUCACACCCAAACCAUCUGCUUUCGUAAUAUUAGGGGCCACUGGGCUCCUAGCAGAGGGGAGUGCAACAACAAACCUGGGCAAGACUCCUUGAUGAAUAAAACCACACCUUGCUCAAUGUGGGACUGAUCCCAAGACCCUACAAAAUGACCUCCAUGGGUGAAGCCAGGAUUGUGAAUCAGAUUAGCUCUCAGGAGAGCCACGCCUCAUAUUCAAUGGGGAUGAGGAACAGUGCCGGCUCUCAAUAAUGCAGCCAGAAGGCAGAAGAACAGUCCCUGGAGAAAUGAAGCAGAUUGCAAAGACUGC
Long non-coding RNA from Suricata suricatta (meerkat), 312 nucleotides. RefSeq lists it as uncharacterized. NCBI's taxonomy places the organism in Eukaryota, Metazoa, Chordata, Mammalia, Carnivora, Herpestidae. The transcript is spliced from 3 exons. The record is from RefSeq and is a predicted model, not a curated record.